Molecule: ribosomal RNA, 254 nt
Filed under: uncultured bacterium
Lineage: Bacteria
Description: partial 16S ribosomal RNA
Rfam family: Bacterial small subunit ribosomal RNA
Source: RNAcentral
UACGUAGGUGACAAGCGUUGUCCGGAUUUACUGGGCGUAAAGGGCGCGUAGGCGGUCAGCACAAGUCAGUUGUGAAAUCUCCGGGCUUAACUCGGAAAGGUCAACUGAUACUGUGCGACUAGAGUGCAGAAGGGGCAACUGGAAUUCUCGGUGUAGCGGUGAAAUGCGUAGAUAUCGAGAGGAACACCUGCGGCGAAGGCGGGUUGCUGGGCUGACACUGACGCUGAGGCGCGAAAGCCAGGGGAGCGAACGGG